UGCAUUGUAUGUGUUGACAUGAU
Molecule: microRNA, 23 nt
Filed under: Mus musculus (house mouse)
Lineage: Eukaryota; Metazoa; Chordata; Mammalia; Rodentia; Muridae
Description: mmu-miR-669g
Gene: mmu-miR-669g
Source: miRBase by way of RNAcentral